RNAcentral lists this ribosomal RNA (431 nucleotides) under uncultured bacterium. RNAcentral's name for it is "partial 16S ribosomal RNA". It matches the Rfam family "Bacterial small subunit ribosomal RNA", at positions 29 to 507 of the family's 1533-position model. The record is from RNAcentral.
AACGAACGCUGGCGGCAGGCCUAACACAUGCAAGUCGAGCGCCCCGCCAGGGGAGCGGCGGACAGGUGAGUAACGCGUGGGAAUAUGCCCUUUGCUACGGAAUAGUCUCGGGAAACUGGGGGUAAUACCGUAUACGCCCUUUGGGGGAAAGAUUUAUCGGCGAAGGAUUAGCCCGCGUUGGAUUAGGUAGUUGGUGGGGUAAUGGCCUACCAAGCCGACGAUCCAUAGCUGGUUUGAGAGGAUGAUCAGCCACACUGGGACUGAGACACGGCCCAGACUCCUACGGGAGGCAGCAGUGGGGAAUCUUAGACAAUGGGGGCAACCCUGAUCUAGCCAUGCCGCGUGAGUGAUGAAGGCCUUAGGGUUGUAAAGCUCUUUCAGCUGGGAAGAUAAUGACGGUACCAGCAGAAGAAGCCCCGGCUAACUCCGUG